UUUGAACUGUUCGUUUCCAUUUAUCUUAUUUGAUUUUUUUAUGAUUAGUAUUUUUAUUGUUAUUAGAUGAUAAAACAUUAAUAGUAUUUUAUGUGUGAUUUUUUAAAAAAAUUCAUAAUAUUUUAAAAUAAGACGGACGUUAAAUGUUGGAGACAGAUUCUUACGGCUGCACUUAUU
RNAcentral lists this microRNA precursor (177 nucleotides) under Oryza glumipatula. RNAcentral describes it as "MIR812 microRNA precursor family". It matches the Rfam family "MIR812 microRNA precursor family". Lineage: Eukaryota; Viridiplantae; Streptophyta; Magnoliopsida; Poales; Poaceae. The record is from Rfam by way of RNAcentral.